CUCAUAUGGAAAGAAGAUUCAGUAUAAUUAAUGAAGGUUUUGGUGCUAACCUCAUCAACCUCUCUCGACGUUCCAUAGGUUUACGCCCGAAAGAUUCACCUUCAAGAUUUUUGAUACAUUACUAUAAGGGCUAGUCUAGCCGCCAAAAUGUGGGAAUUAACUCCUUCAGAGCGAUUCCUGCAAAAAAAUGCAACUUCUCUUAAACUAGAAAAUCUGUCAAGUUACACUGGUCAUUCUUUUCGUCGCAGUUCGCCAAGUCUCUUGGUUAAUGCAGGUGAAGAUGUUAUUUCAUUAAAGCGAUACGGGGGAUGGGAAUCGUCAAAGGUUGCGGAGUCUUAUAUAGAAGAAUCGUUUGCGGAAAGAGUAAUGAUUGCCAGAAAAGUUUUCAGUGAUGGAACGCAAGCUUGCACUGGAUGAAACACCAGAUGAUACAGUGGAGGCUGAAAAUAGGAGUCCUACCAAGCCCAGAAGUAGUGUCCACGUGUUUCAAUUCACUAAUUGUAUUUUUAAUAUUUCUUGAAAAUAUUGUAAGAAAGAUUAAUAAAAUAUGUCUUGAAUAA
Long non-coding RNA from Zophobas morio, 560 nucleotides. RefSeq lists it as uncharacterized. The record is from RefSeq and is a predicted model, not a curated record. The transcript has 2 exons. Lineage: Eukaryota; Metazoa; Arthropoda; Insecta; Coleoptera; Tenebrionidae.